ACACAUUUAUGUAUUUACGCUGGUUACCGUGUACUGUUGUGAAGAACAACGAGAACAACAUAAAAAUAUUGUGUGAUCUCGGGAAAAUUUAAGCAAAUUAUAGAAAAGUGCAAUUAAAUUUUACCUUCUUCAAGGAUGUUAUCAAAAUUUGUAGUCAUAGCCUCAUUGUGCAGCCUCUUUUUAUUUAUGUACGGACUCCUCAUAAACAUAACAAAAAUAGAAGAAAAUCGAUGUCGAAUGAGUUAUAUGUACGAGUAUCCUCAAUUUGUGAAAAUUAGUUUCCCGGAAAAUGAUAACUUCCCUGCGUAUGGACUUUACGCAUACUCGGAGGGUCAACUGGCUCAAAAAACCAGGAAUAUGCAGUUUACUGGAGCUCCAGUGAUUUUUGUUCCGGGCAACGCGGGAUCCUACAAGCAAGCUCGUUCACUGGCGUCGGUGGCCCUGCGUAAAGGAAUAGAUAAUGGACUUCGGCAUCAUCUGGACUACUUUACCGUUGACCUAAAUGAACAGUACUCCGGACUGUAUGGAGGUGUCUUGAAUAAUCAAGUUGAGUUCGUACGGAUCUGUGUGCAACAUGUUUUAAGAUUAUACAAAAUCGUUCCGGGUGGACCCACGUCAGUCAUAUUGAUUGGGCAUUCCAUGGGUGGUAAAAUAGCUCAGGCGGCGGCGGUUUUACCGGAAAUGGCGCCAUUAAUCAAUUCAAUUCUUGCCAUAUCUUCGCCGAUGGACGUUCCUGUGCUUUCUUUGGAUCACUAUUUCCAGUAUUUCUACAAUUCGGUAAAUACCCAAUGGAAGCUCAACAGGACUGUUUGUGCAUCCUCCUACAAAGCUUCACGUCUAAAGGUUGAAGAUGAUUAUUGCUUACCAUCGGUAAAAGAUUCAAGACAACUAGACCACAUUUUGCUGGUAACGAUAGGAGGAGGUAACCGCGAUACAAUGGUACACGACAGUUUAACCAACUCCAUAUUCAGCGACGUACAUUCCAUGGUAAGUCUGAUAUAUGAGAGUAGUAUUUUGUUCCGCCUUCAUCCGUAACAUUUUACUUCUCAAAUAAUUUCAACAUGAUUAUCAUUACUUUUGUAGCAUUGAGGCAUAAUUUUAUAGCAUUGCACAGUGGUCCAGAAUGCAGAUUUAGGUGGAAUCAGGGUUGCUUCCACUCACUUGCUAUAAAAAAAUAAUUUUCGGAAUUAUGCAAUCAUUAGAUGAUAUAAUGAUAUGUUGUACUUGUAAGUGACAAGAAGAGGGUGUAAAGUAUGUGUUUGACUCAUAAAACCUGUCAAUUCCACUUUCAGAGCGUCACAAUCAGCGAUCUUAUGAUUCGUGAGCGUUCACUCAGAGUGAGCGCUCACGAGUCGUAAAAUCGCUGAUUGUGACGCACUGAAAGCAAUAUUGACAGAUGUUAUGUGUCAAAUAUACAAUUCAUGACCUCUUCUUGUAACUUACAAGUACUAAUUAGCAUUAUACUAUUUCAUGAUUUCAUAAUUCAGAAAAACAUUUUUUUAUAGCAAGUGAGUGGAAGUAACCCUGGGUGGAAUGAUAUGUUUUGAGCCUGAAAUUGAAACUUUAGCCUAAAAGUCUCUUCUACAAAGUUUUUCCUUAUAGUUAGGCCCUCAUUUUUAUGACAAUGAAUUCUAGGGUGGUUCUUAUUAUCAUUAAAAUCAAAAAUUUAACUUUUUUGUUUGAAUAAAUUAAGGUAUACAUUUUUUGGCAAAGUUAUGGCUGAGCUUAUUUCAAGCAACUUUGUUGAAAACAACUUUUUUGUAUCUUUUUGGCCGAUUUAAAGCUAUUUUCCUGAAUUGAGUUAGGGUGGCGCUAAAAAAACAGUUAUUUUGCUCUAGUUUUCUUGUUUCGAAUUUCUCAGCAAAGGUGUCUUCAAAUAACUUUUAGAUCUAGCUAACCAAUUGAAAUGUUAAACCAUAUGUUGAAACAUAAAAACCCAGAAAAUAAACGUAAAUUUUACUACUACUGUGCCUCAACUCAUUUUCGCUUCGGACGGCGGGUAAGCAGGUAGCAGCAGCAGCAAAAGCAGUAGGAACAUAGAGGUAACUCUAAGACCACUGGGUCCCGAAGAAAAUCAUUAUUAUUUUUGGCUCACUCAGUACCAGAACAACGGUCCCAAGCAGUCCCAAGCUAUUUCACUCACCCCUGCAU
This is a long non-coding RNA of Ochlerotatus camptorhynchus, 2151 nucleotides long. RefSeq lists it as uncharacterized. The transcript has 4 exons. Lineage: Eukaryota; Metazoa; Arthropoda; Insecta; Diptera; Culicidae. The record is from RefSeq and is a predicted model, not a curated record.